UUGUAUGAGAUCUCCAGCCGCCCAUCCGAACGUUGUCCUGGCUCACUUCCCCGGAGCCAGGCGGACGUCCGGAUAGGCGCGGAUGGGGAUCUGGUUCAAGAAA
This 103-nucleotide non-coding RNA is filed under the name Arthrobacter sp. FB24. RNAcentral's name for it is "mraW RNA". It matches the Rfam family "mraW RNA". The record is from RNAcentral. Lineage: Bacteria; Bacillati; Actinomycetota; Actinomycetes; Micrococcales; Micrococcaceae.